UACAGAGGGGGCAAGCGUUGUUCGGAAUUACUGGGCGUAAAGGGCGCGUAGGCGGCCUUCUAAGUCGAACGUGAAAUCCCCGGGCUCAACCCGGGAACUGCGUCCGAUACUGGAAGGCUUGAAUCCGGGAGAGGGAUGCGGGAUUCCAGGUGUAGCGGUGAAAUGCGUAGAGAUCAGCAGGAACACCCGUGGCGAAGGCGGCCCCCUGGGCCGUACCUGACGCUGAGGCGCGAAGGCUAGGGGAGCGAACGGG
This 253-nucleotide ribosomal RNA is filed under the name uncultured bacterium. Its description in RNAcentral is "partial 16S ribosomal RNA". It matches the Rfam family "Bacterial small subunit ribosomal RNA", at positions 524 to 776 of the family's 1533-position model. The record is from RNAcentral.